CCGCUUGAUUAUGAUGAAGUAGUCUUGCAUAUUCUGGAAGGUUUUGAUGCAGAUUACAAUCCCUUCAUUUCUCCCAUAUCCAUGCGUCUGGAUCAAUGAGUCGUCCUGAAUGAGCUCUACUCCCUCCCGCACUCGGUCGAGG
This is a non-coding RNA of Hordeum vulgare subsp. vulgare (domesticated barley), 142 nucleotides long. The record is from Rfam. NCBI's taxonomy places the organism in Eukaryota, Viridiplantae, Streptophyta, Magnoliopsida, Poales, Poaceae.